Molecule: ribosomal RNA, 495 nt
Filed under: uncultured bacterium
Lineage: Bacteria
Description: partial 16S ribosomal RNA
Rfam family: Bacterial small subunit ribosomal RNA
Source: RNAcentral
GACGAACGCUGGCGGCGUGCCUAAUACAUGCAAGUAGAACGCUGAAGGAGGAGCUUGCUUCUCUGGAUGAGUUGCGAACGGGUGAGUAACGCGUAGGUAACCUGCCUGGUAGCGGGGGAUAACUAUUGGAAACGAUAGCUAAUACCGCAUAAUAUUGACUAUUGCAUGAUAGUCAGUUGAAAGGUGCAACUGCACCACUACCAGAUGGACCUGCGUUGUAUUAGCUAGUUGGUGGGGUAACGGCUCACCAAGGCGACGAUACAUAGCCGACCUGAGAGGGUGAUCGGCCACACUGGGACUGAGACACGGCCCAGACUCCUACGGGAGGCAGCAGUAGGGAAUCUUCGGCAAUGGACGGAAGUCUGACCGAGCAACGCCGCGGGAGUGAAGAAGGUUUUCGGAUCGUAAAGCUCUGUUGUAAGAGAAGAACGAGUGUGAGAGUGGAAAGCUCACACUGUGACGGUAUCUGACCAGAAAGGGACGGCUAACUACGUG